UUGGCCUCAGGGCAAUCGGCUACCAG
Molecule: non-coding RNA, 26 nt
Filed under: Mus musculus (house mouse)
Lineage: Eukaryota; Metazoa; Chordata; Mammalia; Rodentia; Muridae
Source: RNAcentral